Molecule: ribosomal RNA, 593 nt
Filed under: uncultured Syntrophaceae bacterium
Lineage: Bacteria; Pseudomonadati; Thermodesulfobacteriota; Syntrophia; Syntrophales; Syntrophaceae
Description: bacterial SSU rRNA
Rfam family: Bacterial small subunit ribosomal RNA
Source: RNAcentral
AACAAACGCUGGCGGCGUGCCUAACACAUGCAAGUCGUACGAGAAAGGGUCUUUCGGGACCUGAGUAAAGUGGCGCACGGGUGAGUAACGCGUGGAUAAUCUGCCCUUCAGUUGGGAACAACUCAUCGAAAGGUGGGCUAAUACCGAAUAAUACUGCAAGACUUAGGUCGAGCAGUCAAAGAGAGCCUCUGCUUGCAAGCCCUCGCUGAAGGAUGAGUCCGCGUACCAUUAGCUAGUUGGCAGGGUAACGGCCUACCAAGGCGACGAUGGUUAGCUGGUCUGAGAGGAUGAUCAGCCACACUGGAACUGAGACACGGUCCAGACUCCUACGGGAGGCAGCAGUGAGGAAUCUUGCGCAAUGGGGGAAACCCUGACGCAGCAACGCCGCGUGAGUGAGGAAGGCCUUCGGGUCGUAAAGCUCUGUCAGUUGGAAAGAAAUGCCUGAGAGUCAAUACCUUUCAGGCUUGACGGUACCAACAGAGGAAGCACCGGCUAACUCCGUGCCAGCAGCCGCGGUAAUACGGGGGGUGCAAGCGUUGUUCGGAAUUAUUGGGCGUAAAGAGCGUGUAGGCGGCCGGAUGUGUCAGAUGUGA